Molecule: long non-coding RNA, 681 nt
Filed under: Brachypodium distachyon (stiff brome)
Lineage: Eukaryota; Viridiplantae; Streptophyta; Magnoliopsida; Poales; Poaceae
Description: long non-coding RNA (BDIS_LNC004067)
Source: RNAcentral
CCCGAUGUCGCCGUAGUUGAAGCAGGCGCCGGCCGCUCGGCGCUUCUCAUGGCGCUGCUUGCUCCGCUGCUUGAUACCCUGCAGGAUGCGGCAGUCCUGCGCGUCGUGGGUAGAGUUGGCGUGUGUAACAUCCCAAAAAUUUCAAACUUUUACAUAUGCAUUGCAUCCAUAAGCAUCAUGCCACAAUUGCAUGUUUGAAUUUCAACUUGAACCUUAGGGUUUACACCCAUUUGAACUUUGGAUCUUCAAACCAAUAGAUUCUGUGUAUAAAUGGGGUUUAAUGGAUAUAUAAGCUAUCCCAUAAUUUUUGGAUAAUUAUUUGGAGUUGAAAAAGUAUUUUAUUUAAAUAGAUAUAUAGCCUAGAGGCAUUUAUAGGGCAAAUGUAUUUUUAUAUAUUUUAUUUUGAGGGGAAACUACUCCCAAAAGAUGUAUCAUGGUAGAACAUGAUUUUACAAAUUUUCUGGAAUUUAUUUGGACCAAUUUGGAGUUCAAAAUCAAAAGAUAUCAAAGGAAUAAGGAAAAACAGAAAAAGAAAAGGGUAAAAGAAAAAAAAGAAGGAGCAAACGGACCGGCCCGGCCUAAUUGGGCCGAACCGGCCCAACUCCCUCGCGCGCGCCGCAGCCCAGCCGGCCCAGCCGCUCACCCGCGCCGCGCCCGCACCCGCUGACAGGUGGGGCCCAC